This is a non-coding RNA of Schistocerca piceifrons (Central American locust), 72 nucleotides long. The record is from the annotation of a RefSeq genome assembly. Lineage: Eukaryota; Metazoa; Arthropoda; Insecta; Orthoptera; Acrididae.
GCCGAGGUAGCGCAGUGGUUUGUGCAUCUGUCUAGUGAGCAGAAGACCCAGGUUCGAGUCCUGGUCUCGGUA